This 210-nucleotide long non-coding RNA is filed under the name Capsella rubella. RNAcentral describes it as "long non-coding RNA (CRUB_LNC004863)". Lineage: Eukaryota; Viridiplantae; Streptophyta; Magnoliopsida; Brassicales; Brassicaceae. The record is from RNAcentral.
GGAUUCAUUUAUCCGUUUAUUUACUGAUUAAGAAAUAAUUUAAAUUUUGAAAUCACUUUAUUAUUCCUAUGUUAAAGUUAAUUAGUUUUUUUUUUUCUUUUUUUUUUUGAAAAGUAUACUACUCAUUAUCCAAAUUCCAACCGAUUUUAUUACUUAUCACUCAUUAUCCCAAUUCUAAACUUGUUUGACUAUCCUUUGUUUAUCUUACAA